UAUGUAUGUAUAUAUAUAUACGUGUGUGUAUGUAUAUAUGUGUAUAUAUGUAUGUGCGUAUGUAUAUAUGUGUAUAUAUGUAUGUGCGUAUGUGUAUAUCUGUAUGUAUAUAUAUGAUCAUGUCCCCUGCAAACAAAGGCAGUUUGACUUCCGUUAUUCUAAUUUGGAUGUCUUUUAUUGCGUUCUCCUAAUUGCCCUACCUAGGACUUCCAGUACUGUGAUGAGUAAAAGUGGUGUAAAAGUAGCCACACUUGUUCCAGGUCUUAGAGGAAGAGCUUUUAACUUUUCCCCAUUGAUUAUGAUGUUAGCUGUGGGUUUGUCCCAUAUGGCCUUUAUUGCGCUGAGAUACAUUGUUUUGUACUCAUGUUGUUCAGUUUUUAUCAUGAAGAAAUGUUGAUUUUUAUUUUUUUCAGCAUCUACUGAAAAGAUUAUAUGGUUUUUAUUCUUGAUUUGCUGAAUGUGAUGUCACACAUGUAUUUAUUUGUGUUUAUCGAAUCCUCCUCACAUUCCUGGGAUGAAUCUCACUUGAUCAUGGCAGAUCAUCUUUUUAUUGUGUUGUCAAAUGCAAUUUUCAAGUAUUUUAUUGAGGAUUUUUUUGCAUCUGUAUUCAUCAAGGAUAUUUGCCUGUGGCUUUCUUUUUGUGUUGUGUCCUGGUCUGGUUCUUGAACCAGGGUCAUGCUGUCCUCAUAGAACAAGUUUCAAAGCCUUCCUUCCUCUUCAUUCUUUGGGGAAUAUUUUGAGUAAAAUUGGUAUUAGCUCUUUUAAAAAUUUUUGGUAGAAUUCAGCAGUAAAACCAUGAUUCUUGUGUUUUUCUUUGACAGAAGACUUUUUAUUCCUGCUUUAAUUACAUUACUCAUUAUUGGUCUGUUCAGGUUUUUUAUUUCUUCGUCAUUCUAUCUUGUGAAUUUGUUGCAUGUCCAGAAAUUUGUUCAUUUCUCCUAGAUUUUUCUAUUUGUUUUUAUAUAGGUGUUUUCAAUAAUCUCUUACAAUCCUUCAUAUAUCUGUGUUAUCAGUUGUAAUGUCUCCUUUUUCAUCUAUGAUUUUAUUUUCUUUUUCUUUCCAGUUAAAACUUGUCAAUUUUGAUUUUUAAAAACAAUCCCAGCUCUUUAUGCCAUUGGUUUUUGGUAUUUUUUUGUUUCUAUUUUUAAAAUUUGUUUUCUAAUCUUUAUGAUAUUUUUUCUACUAAUUUUAGCAUUUUAUUUUUCUUGUUUUUCUCAUUGGUUGAGGUGUACUGUCAGGUUGACUGUUUGAGAUCUUUCUACUUUUCUGUUGUAGGCAUUUAUAGCUAUGCACUUUUCCUCUUACAUCUGCCUUUGCUGCAUCCCACGGGAUUUGUUAUGUUGUGUUUCUGUUCUUAUUUGUUUCAAUAAAUUUUUAAUUUCCUUUUUAUUUUUUUCAUUUAUUUAUUGGUUGUUCAUGAGCAUGUAUUUUAAUUUCCAUAUAUUUGUAUAGUUUUUAAAGUUCCUCCUGUUACUGAUUUCUAGUACUAUUCCACUGUGGUCAGAAAGGAUGCUUGAUAUGAUUUCAGUUUUUAAAAAUGGGCUAUGACUUGUUUUUUGGCCUAACACAUAGUCUUUCCUGGAGAAUAAUCCAUGUGCUACUCAGUGGAAUGUGCAUUGUGCAGUUGCAGAGUGGAACGCUGUUUAAAUGUUAGGUCCAUUCGGUAUAGAUUACAGUUUAACUGAUGAUGUCUUGUUGCCUGGAUGAUCUAUCCAUUGAUGAUAGUGGAGUGUUGAUUAUAGUGGAGUGUUGAGGUACUCUAUUACUGUAUUGCAGUCCAUCUGUCCUUUAAGGUCUGUUAAUAUUUGCUUCUGUGUUCAGCUGCUUGAGUGCUGGUUGCAUAUGCACUUAUAAUUGUUAUGCUGCUGUUUACUUCUUUCUCAUGAUGUAAUUAUCUUCAUUUUUUCCUCUUUUGACUGACAGCCUAUUUUAUCUAAGUAUAGCUAUUCCUGCUUUUUUGUUUCCAUCCCUUCACUUUCAGUCUAUGUACGUCUUUAUAGGUGAACUGAGUUUCUUGUAGGCAGUAUAUAAUUGGGUCUUGUUUUUUAAUCCAUUCAGCCACUCAGUCUUAAUUGGAGAAUUUAAUUCAUUUAUAUUCAAGGUUAUUGCUAACAGGUAAAAACAUACUACUGCCAUUUUUUGCUUGUUUUUGGGUUGUUUUGCUACUCUUUUUGCUUUUCUUUCUCGCUUCCUUCUUCUUUCUCUUCUCUCUGAUCUUUCUUUUUUUCUUCCUUUCUUUUCUUUCCUCCUUCCCUUCCUUCCUGUAUUUAUUUGUAGUGAGGUAAUUUUUUCAGGUAGUAUGUUUUAAUUCCUUGCUUUUAAUUUUUAGGGUGUCUAUUAUUGAUUUUUGUUUUCUGGUUACCAUGAGGCUAAACAACAUAAUUAUAAUCAGUUAUUUUAAACUGAAGAAAACUUAACUUUGAUUGGUCUCAGCUACUCAGGAGGCUCAGGUGGGAGGAUUGCUUGACCCUGGGAGGCCGAGGUUGCAGUGAGUUGAGAUUGCACCACUGCACACUCCAGCCUGGGUGACUGACAGGGCUGGAGUGCAGUGGCGUGAUCUCGGCUCACUGCAACCUGCACCUCCCGGGCUCAAGCGAUUCUCCUGCCUUAACCUCCAAAUAUCAUAGUAUCAUGAGGUUAUGAAGACAUGUUGCCUGCGCCAGAUAGCAAUACUGGCUGUAGUUCUAAAAAUAAAGAUCUAUUUGAAGAAUUCAGAGAAUCUAUGGAAGAUGGCUCAGCUUGCUGUGAAGCAAAGAAACCAGGGACCUUCUCCAGAACCUCUGAAGUUGAUGUUAGGUCCAGCUAAUGUUUGUCCUCUAAAAAGAAAGUGGAAUUCUCUCUCAGUUAUACUAGUGCUUGAUAUUCCAGUAGCUACACUAAAGAAUGUGGAAAAAAAGAGAUGAGUCUUUCUGAUUGAAUAGAAGUGGAUCAUUUCCACUAGAACAGCUUCAAAGCUUCCCCCAACUUUUACAGAACAUCCAUUGCUUAGAGAUACUUAACUGUUGAUCAGUUGUUCUGCUGUUGGCAGCUGCCUUCUCAGAUGGGCUCCGUGCUAAACAACUCUCUGCUGCUUCACUACAUUAACUGUGUCAGAGAUGAGCCAGUCUUGCUAAGGUCUUAUUAGUGAUUGAGUCAAACAUUACAAGAAGCUGGAUGCUUGUAUUUACUGUUUCUGCUCUAGAAUGUAUUUGGUACAAGGUGAAUAAUUAUGAACAUGGAAAAGAAUUUACCAACUUUCUGGAUACUAUCAUCAGGGCAGAGUCCUUCUUACAAGAGGGGUUUCAUUCCUGUGAAGCAUUCCUGUAUAAGAGCCUUCCUCUCUGGGACGGCCUCUGUUGUCGGUCACAGUUCCUUCAGCUUGUGAGAUGGAUUCCUUUUAGUAGCUACUCUGAGGUGAAACCACUUCUUUCUGAUCGUCCAGCACAGCCCUUCUUUACAUCAGCCAUUUAUUUCAAGAGAGACAACGUUGGGUGGAUCCAUGAACUCUGUGUCUAAACUGCUCCACUGUGUAGGGUGGCUAUCCACUACUGCAGUGUGCUUGGAGAGCAACAGUACUUUCUUGAUGCACUGUAUGUUGGAUUUCUAUGAGAAGCUCGUACACAUUACAUUUGGAUUUUUGUGAAAGCUGUCCACCUUAUUGGCUUAUUAUUUAAAUUUUCUGUGCAAACAUUAAGGUGGGCUAUGACCUUAUUAGCAUCAUUAAAAUAACCUCACAUUUU
Gorilla gorilla gorilla (western lowland gorilla) is the source of this 3719-nucleotide long non-coding RNA. RefSeq lists it as uncharacterized. NCBI's taxonomy places the organism in Eukaryota, Metazoa, Chordata, Mammalia, Primates, Hominidae. The transcript has 9 exons. The record is from RefSeq and is a predicted model, not a curated record.